UUUGUCUUUUUUUCCAGAUAGAUUUUUUAGUUUUGUUUUUGUAACUACAAUAUAAUAUCACUUCCGUUAUAUUAAAUUAAGUGUUUUUAUUUACAAUUUUAUGUAUUUACAAUUAUUAUUUCUCAGUUACAGCUGCCAUAAUGAAACAAUUCAUGAAAUCUUUAAAUUAAAAAGCACUCUUUUUAUUUCAGUAACAAAUUGACUUUUUGUUAUUGGAUGAAGUUAGUUCUUUAGCUUAACUCUGCAAAUCUACUAUUUGAAAUGAAAAAGUGUUACUCGGGAGAAAAAAAACAUAUAUAUUCUUGGGCAAUGGAAAGAUUUCCCUAUCAUGAUCUGUAGCUGAAUAAUCUCCAAAUAUUUGCAACUUCCGGGCAGUGGCUUACAAGGUACUGGACACCUUACAGACGAAGACCAACUUGAAGGGUAUAUAUCUCAUAACCUCCAAUCAAGAUUAGCAUAUUCUCAAGUUUGAAAUGACUUUUUACAAAGUACACUGGAUGAGGAACACAGGUUCAGGAUCUAUUUAUCCUUGUGGUAUGGGUUGACAAGAGAGUAUGAAAACAAGGGUGAAAUGGGCAUGGUCUUAAUAGACUUCAUCCUAAUGGCUGUGAUAACAAAUCUUAUUUCUUUUUAAAAGUUAUGCUGCUGAUCCAAAAGUACAAUUUUCGUUCCUAAUAUUUCGGGUAAGUACAGUUUUUUUUUGGGGG
Molecule: non-coding RNA, 707 nt
Organism: Parasteatoda tepidariorum (common house spider)
Lineage: Eukaryota; Metazoa; Arthropoda; Arachnida; Araneae; Theridiidae
Source: RefSeq, a predicted model, not a curated record